Non-coding RNA from Capsicum annuum, 1796 nucleotides. NCBI's taxonomy places the organism in Eukaryota, Viridiplantae, Streptophyta, Magnoliopsida, Solanales, Solanaceae. The record is from Rfam.
UACCUGGUUGAUCCUUCCAUUAGUCAUAUUCUUGUCUCAAAUAUUAAGCCAUGCAUGUGUAAGUAUAAAAAAAUUUAGACUAUGAAACUGCGAAUGGCUCAUUAAAUCAGUUAUAGUUUGUUUGAAGGUAACUACUAAUCGGAUAACCAUAGUAAUUAUAGAGCUAAUACUUGAAACAAACCCCAAAUUUUGGAAGGGAUGCAUUUAUUAGAUAAAAGGUCGAUGUGGUCUCUACCCAUUGUUGUGAUAAUUCAUGAUAACUCGAUGGAUCAGACGGCCAUCAUGCCGUCGAUGCAUUAUUCAAAUUUUUACCCUAUCAACUUUUUAUGGUAGGAUGGUGGCCUACCAUGAUGGUGAUAGGUGACGGUAAAUUAGGGUUCAAUUCUGGAGAGGGGGCCUAAGAAACGGCUACCACAUCCAAGAAAGGCUGCAGACGCUCAAAUUACCCAAUCCUGACACGAGGAGGUAGUGACAAUGAGUUACAAUACCGGGCUCAAUGAGUUUGGUAAUUGGAAUGAGUACAAUCUAAAUCCCUUACCAAGGAUCCAUUAGAGGGAAAGUUUGGUGCCUUUACCCGCGGUAAUUCCAUUUCUAAUAACGUAUAUUUAAGUUUUUGCGGUUAAAAAGCUCGUAGUUGGACUUUGGGAUGGGUCGGCUGGUCUGUCUAUGGUGUGCAUCAGUCAUCUCAUCCCUUCUGUCGGUGAAUGCUCCUGGCCUUAAUUGGUAAGGUCGUGCUGCGGUGCUGUUACUUUGAAGAAAUUAGAGUGCUCAAAGCAAGCCUACGCUAUGUAUACACUAGCAUGGGAUAAAAUUAUAGAAUUUCAGUCCUAUUAUGUUGGCCUCUAGAAUCGGAGUAAUAAUUAAUAGGGACAGUCGAGGGAAUUCAUAUUUUGGAGUCAGAGGUAAAAUUCUUGGAUUUAUGAAAGACGAACAAAUGCGAAAGUAUUUACCAAGAAUGUUUUCAUUAAUCAAGAACAAAAUUUGGGGGCUUAAAAAUAAUCAGAUACCAUCCUAGUCUCAACCAUAAAUGAUGUUGACCAGGGAUCAGCAGAUGUUGCUUUUAGGACUCCGCCGAUACCUUACAAGAAAUCAAAGUUCUUGGGUUCCAAAGGGAGUAUGGUCGCAAGGCUAAAACUUAAAGGAAUUGACGGAAGGGCACCACUAGGAGUGGAGCCUACAGCUUAAUUUGACUCAUCCCAGGGAAACUUACCAGGUCCAAACAUAGUAAGGAAUGACAGAAUGAGAGCUCUUUCUUGAUUCUAUGGGUAGUGGUGCAUGGUCUUUCUUAGUUGGAGGAGCAAUUUAUCUGGUUAAUUCUAUUAACGAAUGAGACCUCAGCCUGCUAACUUGCUUUGCAGAGGUAUCCCUUCGCAGCCAGCAUCUUAGAGGAACUACGGUAUUUUAGGCCAUGAAAGUUUGAGGCAAUAACAGGUCUUUGAUGCCCUUAGAUAUUCUGGGCCUUACGCGUGAUACUUUGAUGUAUUCAUCAAGUUUAUAGCCUUGGUUGACAGGCCUGGGUAAUCUUUGAAAUUUCAUCGUGAUGGGAUACGUUGUUGGUCUUCAACAAAGAUUUCCUAGUAAGCGCGACUCAUCAGCUUGCGUUGAAGACUUCCUUGACCUUUGCAUACACCACCCGAUGCUCCUACCGAUUGAAUGAUACGGUGAAAUGUUCAAAUCGCGGUGACGUUGGUGGUUCGCAACCCAUGAUGUCAUGAGAAGUCAAAUGAACCUUAUCAUUUAGAGAAAAGAGAAGUCGUAACGAGGUUUUCAUAGGUGAACCUACGAAAGGAUCAUUG